RNAcentral lists this ribosomal RNA (253 nucleotides) under uncultured bacterium. Its description in RNAcentral is "partial 16S ribosomal RNA". It matches the Rfam family "Bacterial small subunit ribosomal RNA", at positions 524 to 776 of the family's 1533-position model. The record is from RNAcentral.
UACGUAGGGGGCAAGCGUUGUCCGGAAUUAUUGGGCGUAAAGAGCUCGUAGGCGGUUUGUCGCGUCUGCUGUGAAAACCCGAGGCUCAACCUCGGGCCUGCAGUGGGUACGGGCAGACUAGAGUCCGGAAGAGGAGAGUGGAAUUCCUGGUGUAGCGGUGAAAUGCGUAGAUAUCAGGAGGAACACCAGCGGCGAAGGCGGCGCUCUGGGCCGGUACUGACACUGAGGAGCGAAAGUGUGGGGAGCGAACAGG